CCUACGGGAGGCUGCAGUAGGGAAUCUUUCACAAUGGGCGAAAGCCUGAUGGAGCAACGCCGCGUGCAGGAUGAAGGCCUUCGGGUUGUAAACUGCUUUUAUAAGCGAGAAAUAUGAUGGUAACUUAUGAAUAAGGAUCUGCUAACUACGUGCCAGCAGCCGCGGUCAUACGUAGGAUCCGAGCAUUAUCCGGAGUGACUGGGUGUAAAGAGUUGCGUAGGUAGCAUAAUAAGUAGCUAGUGAAAUCUGGUGGCUCAACCAUUCAGACUAAUAGCGAAACUGUUAAGCUCGAGACAGUUAGGGGCAUCUGGAAUUUCUAGGGUAGGGGUGACAUCCGUAGAUAUUAGAAGGAACACCAAUAGCGUAGGCAGGAUGCUGGGACGGUUCUGACACUAAGGCACGAAAGCGUAGGGAGCAAACGGGAUUAGAUACCCUGGUAGUC
RNAcentral lists this ribosomal RNA (442 nucleotides) under uncultured bacterium. RNAcentral describes it as "partial 16S ribosomal RNA". It matches the Rfam family "Bacterial small subunit ribosomal RNA", at positions 338 to 795 of the family's 1533-position model. The record is from RNAcentral.